Molecule: transfer RNA, 72 nt
Filed under: Ictidomys tridecemlineatus (thirteen-lined ground squirrel)
Lineage: Eukaryota; Metazoa; Chordata; Mammalia; Rodentia; Sciuridae
Description: Spermophilus tridecemlineatus (thirteen-lined ground squirrel) tRNA
Rfam family: tRNA
About the family: Transfer RNA (tRNA) molecules are approximately 80 nucleotides in length. Their secondary structure includes four short double-helical elements and three loops (D, anti-codon, and T loops).
Source: Rfam by way of RNAcentral
GGGGUUGUAGCUCAGUGGUAGAGUGCUUGUCUAGCAUGUGUGUGGCACUGGGUUGAACUCCUGGCACCCCCA